Molecule: ribosomal RNA, 2929 nt
Filed under: Bacillus cereus
Lineage: Bacteria; Bacillati; Bacillota; Bacilli; Caryophanales; Bacillaceae
Description: bacterial LSU rRNA
Rfam family: Bacterial large subunit ribosomal RNA
Source: RNAcentral
UUUGGUUAAGUUAGAAAGGGCGCACGGUGGAUGCCUUGACACUAGGAGUCGAUGAAGGACGGGACUAACGCCGAUAUGCUUCGGGGAGCUGUAAGUAAGCUUUGAUCCGAAGAUUUCCGAAUGGGGAAACCCACCAUACGUAAUGGUAUGGUAUCCUUAUCUGAAUACAUAGGGUAAGGAAGACAGACCCAGGGAACUGAAACAUCUAAGUACCUGGAGGAAGAGAAAGCAAAUGCGAUUUCCUGAGUAGCGGCGAGCGAAACGGAAUAUAGCCCAAACCAAGAGGCUUGCCUCUUGGGGUUGUAGGACAUUCUAUACGGAGUUACAAAGGAACGAGGUAGACGAAGCGACCUGGAAAGGUCCGUCGUAGAGGGUAACAACCCCGUAGUCGAAACUUCGUUCUCUCUUGAAUGUAUCCUGAGUACGGCGGAACACGUGAAAUUCCGUCGGAAUCUGGGAGGACCAUCUCCCAAGGCUAAAUACUCCCUAGUGAUCGAUAGUGAACCAGUACCGUGAGGGAAAGGUGAAAAGCACCCCGGAAGGGGAGUGAAAGAGAUCCUGAAACCGUGUGCCUACAAAUAGUCAGAGCCCGUUAACGGGUGAUGGCGUGCCUUUUGUAGAAUGAACCGGCGAGUUACGAUCCCGUGCGAGGUUAAGCUGAAGAGGCGGAGCCGCAGCGAAAGCGAGUCUGAAUAGGGCGUUUAGUACGUGGUCGUAGACCCGAAACCAGGUGAUCUACCCAUGUCCAGGGUGAAGUUCAGGUAACACUGAAUGGAGGCCCGAACCCACGCACGUUGAAAAGUGCGGGGAUGAGGUGUGGGUAGCGGAGAAAUUCCAAUCGAACCUGGAGAUAGCUGGUUCUCCCCGAAAUAGCUUUAGGGCUAGCCUUAAGUGUAAGAGUCUUGGAGGUAGAGCACUGAUUGGACUAGGGGUCCUCAUCGGAUUACCGAAUUCAGUCAAACUCCGAAUGCCAAUGACUUAUCCUUAGGAGUCAGACUGCGAGUGAUAAGAUCCGUAGUCAAAAGGGAAACAGCCCAGACCGCCAGCUAAGGUCCCAAAGUGUGUAUUAAGUGGAAAAGGAUGUGGAGUUGCUUAGACAACUAGGAUGUUGGCUUAGAAGCAGCCACCAUUUAAAGAGUGCGUAAUAGCUCACUAGUCGAGUGACUCUGCGCCGAAAAUGUACCGGGGCUAAAUACACCACCGAAGCUGCGGAUUGAUACCAAUGGUAUCAGUGGUAGGGGAGCGUUCUAAGGACAGUGAAGUCAGACCGUAAGGACUGGUGGAGUGCUUAGAAGUGAGAAUGCCGGUAUGAGUAGCGAAAGACGGGUGAGAAUCCCGUCCACCGAAUGCCUAAGGUUUCCUGAGGAAGGCUCGUCCGCUCAGGGUUAGUCAGGACCUAAGCCGAGGCCGACAGGCGUAGGCGAUGGACAACAGGUUGAUAUUCCUGUACCACCUCUUUAUCGUUUGAGCAAUGGAGGGACGCAGAAGGAUAGAAGAAGCGUGCGAUUGGUUGUGCACGUCCAAGCAGUUAGGCUGAUAAGUAGGCAAAUCCGCUUAUCGUGAAGGCUGAGCUGUGAUGGGGAAGCUCCUUAUGGAGCGAAGUCUUUGAUUCCCCGCUGCCAAGAAAAGCUUCUAGCGAGAUAAAAGGUGCCUGUACCGCAAACCGACACAGGUAGGCGAGGAGAGAAUCCUAAGGUGUGCGAGAGAACUCUGGUUAAGGAACUCGGCAAAAUGACCCCGUAACUUCGGGAGAAGGGGUGCUUUCUUAACGGAAAGCCGCAGUGAAUAGGCCCAAGCGACUGUUUAGCAAAAACACAGCUCUCUGCGAAGCCGUAAGGCGAAGUAUAGGGGGUGACACCUGCCCGGUGCUGGAAGGUUAAGGAGAGGGGUUAGCGUAAGCGAAGCUCUGAACUGAAGCCCCAGUAAACGGCGGCCGUAACUAUAACGGUCCUAAGGUAGCGAAAUUCCUUGUCGGGUAAGUUCCGACCCGCACGAAAGGUGUAACGAUUUGGGCACUGUCUCAACCAGAGACUCGGUGAAAUUAUAGUACCUGUGAAGAUGCAGGUUACCCGCGACAGGACGGAAAGACCCCGUGGAGCUUUACUGUAGCCUGAUAUUGAAUUUUGGUACAGUUUGUACAGGAUAGGCGGGAGCCAUUGAAACCGGAGCGCUAGCUUCGGUGGAGGCGCUGGUGGGAUACCGCCCUGACUGUAUUGAAAUUCUAACCUACGGGUCUUAUCGACCCGGGAGACAGUGUCAGGUGGGCAGUUUGACUGGGGCGGUCGCCUCCUAAAGUGUAACGGAGGCGCCCAAAGGUUCCCUCAGAAUGGUUGGAAAUCAUUCGUAGAGUGCAAAGGCAUAAGGGAGCUUGACUGCGAGACCUACAAGUCGAGCAGGGACGAAAGUCGGGCUUAGUGAUCCGGUGGUUCCGCAUGGAAGGGCCAUCGCUCAACGGAUAAAAGCUACCCCGGGGAUAACAGGCUUAUCUCCCCCAAGAGUCCACAUCGACGGGGAGGUUUGGCACCUCGAUGUCGGCUCAUCGCAUCCUGGGGCUGUAGUCGGUCCCAAGGGUUGGGCUGUUCGCCCAUUAAAGCGGUACGCGAGCUGGGUUCAGAACGUCGUGAGACAGUUCGGUCCCUAUCCGUCGUGGGCGUAGGAAAUUUGAGAGGAGCUGUCCUUAGUACGAGAGGACCGGGAUGGACGCACCGCUGGUGUACCAGUUGUUCUGCCAAGGGCAUAGCUGGGUAGCUAUGUGCGGAAGGGAUAAGUGCUGAAAGCAUCUAAGCAUGAAGCCCCCCUCAAGAUGAGAUUUCCCAUAGCGUAAGCUAGUAAGAUCCCUGAAAGAUGAUCAGGUUGAUAGGUUCGAGGUGGAAGCAUGGUGACAUGUGGAGCUGACGAAUACUAAUAGAUCGAGGACUUAACCAUAUAA